This 399-nucleotide transfer-messenger RNA is filed under the name Bacteroidales bacterium. It matches the Rfam family "transfer-messenger RNA". From Rfam's summary of the family: Bacterial tmRNA, also known as 10Sa RNA or SsrA, is named for its dual tRNA and mRNA-like properties. Lineage: Bacteria; Pseudomonadati; Bacteroidota; Bacteroidia; Bacteroidales. The record is from RNAcentral.
GGGGCCGAGUUGGAUUUGACAGCGUGUAAAACAGGUAUGUAAGCAUGUCGAGCGUGGUGAUUUGGCUCGUUAAUCCCAGGUCAUACACUUAUAAUUGGCAAUAACAAUUAUGCUCUCGCUGCGUAAUUUUACUCAGUAAAAUUCGCUUCAUCCCGGUAUUAGAUACCGGGACGGGACAUCUCCGGAAACUUUGUUCCCUAUCGGGUUUCCAACAGGAGGUGCAGUUAGAACGGGAUAGCCACCGGAGGAGUUCCGACUCCGGGGCGAAACACCAGGAACUAAGGUGUUGAUCGGUCGUCUUUCGCCUGUCAACUCCCUACAACCAAGGAAAGACUAAGCAUGUAGAAGGCAUAUUGGUUUCUCGUUUGGACCGGGGUUCGAUCCCCCGCGGCUCCACUU